This 499-nucleotide ribosomal RNA is filed under the name uncultured bacterium. Its description in RNAcentral is "partial 16S ribosomal RNA". It matches the Rfam family "Bacterial small subunit ribosomal RNA", at positions 28 to 507 of the family's 1533-position model. The record is from RNAcentral.
GACGAACGCUGGCGGCGUGCUUAACACAUGCAAGUCGAACGGGCCCGCUCUCUUUUUUGGGGGUGGGUUGAGUGGCGAACGGGUGAGUAUCACGUGAGUAACCUGCCCCCUGCUCCUGGAUAACUGCUUGAAAGGGCGGCUAAUACGGGGUGUGCCGGCUGGUCCGCAUGGGCCUGGUCGGGAUAGUUUCAUCUUCGGGUGUUUCGGUGGGGGAUGGGCUCGCGGCCUAUCAGCUUGUUGGUGGGGUGAUGGCCCACCAAGGCGGUGACGGGUAGCCGGCCUGAGAGGGUGGGCGGCCACACUGGGACUGAGACACGGCCCAGACUCCUGCGGGAGGCAGCAGUGGGGGGUAUUGCACAAUGGGCGGAAGCCUGAUGCAGCGACGUCGCGUGAGGGAUGGAGGCCUUCGGGUUGUGAAACUCUUUCUCCGGUGGUGAAGGCCCUGUCCGUUGCGGCGGGGUUGACGGUAGCCGGGUAUGAAGCGCCGGCUAACUACGUG